UACGGGGGGGGUAAGCGUUGUUCGGAAUUACUGGGCGUAAAGGGCUCGUAGGCGGCCAACUAAGUCAGACGUGAAAUCCCUCAGCUUAACUGGGGAUCUGCGUCUGAUACUGGAUGGCUUGGAUUCGGGAGAGGAAUGCGGAAUUCCAGGUGUAGCGGUGAAAUGCGUAGAUAUCUGGAGGAACACCGGUGGCGAAGGCGGCAUUCUGGACCGAUAUUGACGCUGAGGAGCGAAAGCCAGGGGAGCAAACGGG
RNAcentral lists this ribosomal RNA (253 nucleotides) under uncultured bacterium. RNAcentral describes it as "partial 16S ribosomal RNA". It matches the Rfam family "Bacterial small subunit ribosomal RNA", at positions 524 to 776 of the family's 1533-position model. The record is from RNAcentral.